RNAcentral lists this ribosomal RNA (500 nucleotides) under uncultured bacterium. Its description in RNAcentral is "bacterial SSU rRNA". It matches the Rfam family "Bacterial small subunit ribosomal RNA", at positions 30 to 518 of the family's 1533-position model. The record is from RNAcentral.
UGAACGCUGGCGGCGUGCUUAACACAUGCAAGUCGAACGGAACAUUCGCCCGAUGAUUGAAGUAGCUUGCUAUGAAUGAUCAACUGAAAUGUUAGUGGCGGACGGGUGAGUAACGCGUGGGUAACCUACCUUACACAGGGGGAUAACAGUUAGAAAUGACUGCUAAUACCGCAUAAGCGCACAGUAUCGCAUGAUACAGUGUGAAAAACUCCGGUGGUGUAAGAUGGACCCGCGUCUGAUUAGCUAGUUGGUGAGGUAACGGCCCACCAAGGCGACGAUCAGUAGCCGGCCUGAGAGGGUGAACGGCCACAUUGGAACUGAGACACGGUCCAAACUCCUACGGGAGGCAGCAGUGGGGAAUAUUGCACAAUGGGGGAAACCCUGAUGCAGCGACGCCCGCGUGAGUGAUGAAGUAUUUCGGUAUGUAAAGCUCUAUCAGCAGGGAAGAUCAUGACGGUACCUGACUAAGAAGCUCCGGCUAAAUACGUGCCAGCCGCUGC